GGGCCCGUAGCUCAGCCUGGUGGGAGCCCCGUUUGUGGUACAGGUGGUCGUGGUUCAAAUCCCGUCGGUCACCC
Molecule: transfer RNA, 74 nt
Filed under: Actinomycetota bacterium
Lineage: Bacteria; Bacillati; Actinomycetota
Description: tRNA-His
Source: RNAcentral